Molecule: ribosomal RNA, 492 nt
Filed under: uncultured bacterium
Lineage: Bacteria
Description: partial 16S ribosomal RNA
Rfam family: Bacterial small subunit ribosomal RNA
Source: RNAcentral
AGUGAACGCUGGCGGUAGGCCUAACACAUGCAAGUCGAACGGCAGCACAGUAAGAGCUUGCUCUUACGGGCGGCGAGUGGCGGACGGGUGAGGAAUACAUCGGAAUCUACUUUUUCGUGGGGGCUAACGUCGGGAAACUUACGCUAAUACCGCAUACGACCUACGGGUGAAAGCAGGGGAUCUUCUGACCUUGCGCGAUUGUAUGAGCCGAUGUCGGCUUAGCUAGUUGGCGGGGUAAAGGCCCACCAAGGCGACGAUCCGUAGCUGGUCUGAGAGGAUGAUCAGCCAGACUGGAAGUGAGACACGGUAGAGACACCUACGGGAGGAAGCAGUGGGGAAUAUUGGACGAUGGGCGCAAGCCGGAUCCAGCAAUACCGCGUGGGUGAAGAAGGACUUCGGGUUGUAAAGCCAUUUUGGUGGGAAAGAAAAGCAGCAGGUUAAUACCCCGCUGUUCUGACGGUACCCAAAGAAUAAGCACCGGCUAACUUCGUG